This 535-nucleotide ribosomal RNA is filed under the name uncultured Acaulospora. Its description in RNAcentral is "SSU rRNA". It matches the Rfam family "Eukaryotic small subunit ribosomal RNA", at positions 569 to 1092 of the family's 1831-position model. The record is from RNAcentral. Lineage: Eukaryota; Fungi; Glomeromycota; Glomeromycetes; Diversisporales; Acaulosporaceae.
AGCAGCCGCGGUAAUUCCAGCUCCAAUAGCGUAUAUUAAAGUUGUUGCAGUUAAAAAGCUCGUAGUUGAAUUUCGGGAUUUGUCAGUUGGUCGGGCUUCACUGUCCGUAUUGACUUGAUGGAUUCUUACCUUCUGAAUAACCAGCAUGCUAUUAAGUUAGUGCGUUGGGGAAGCAGAUCUAUUACCUUGAAAAAAUUAGAGUGCUUAAAGCGAGCUAGUGCUUGAAUAGAUUAGCAUGGAAUAAUAAAAUAGGACGGCAUGGUUCUAUUUUGUUGCUAUUUUGUUGGUUUCUAGGAUCACCGUAAUGAUUAAUAGGGAUAGUUGGGGGCAUUAGUAUUCAAUUGUCAGAGGUGAAAUUCUUGGAUUUAUUGAAGACUAACUUCUGCGAAAGCAUUUGCCAAGGAUGUUUUCAUUAAUCAAGAACGAAAGUUAGGGGAUCGAAGACGAUCAGAUACCGUCGUAGUCUUAACCAUAAACUAUGCCGACUAGGAAUCGGACGAUGUUAAUUUUAUAAUGACUCGUUCGGCACCUUACG